UGCAGAAGAACAGGCUCAAGAUGCUCACUUC
Molecule: non-coding RNA, 31 nt
Filed under: Rattus norvegicus (Norway rat)
Lineage: Eukaryota; Metazoa; Chordata; Mammalia; Rodentia; Muridae
Source: RNAcentral